GAACGCUGGCGGCGUGCCUAAUACCUGCAAGUCGAGCGAACAGACGAGGAGCUUGCUCCUUUGACGUUAGCGGCGGACGGGUGAGUAACACGUGGAUAACCUACCUAUAAGACUGGGAUAACUUCGGGAAACCGGAGCUAAUACCGGAUAACAUGUUGAACCGCAUGGUUCAACAGUGAAAGACGGUCUUGCUGUCACUUAUAGAUGGAUCCGCGCCGCAUUAGCUAGUUGGUAAGGUAACGGCUUACCAAGGCAACGAUGCGUAGCCGACCUGAGAGGGUGAUCGGCCACACUGGAACUGAGACACGGUCCAGACUCCUACGGGAGGCAGCAGUAGGGAAUCUUCCGCAAUGGGCGAAAGCCUGACGGAGCAACGCCGCGUGAGUGAAGAAGGUCUUCGGAUCGUAAAACUCUGUUAUUAGGGAAGAACAAAUGUGUAAGUAACUAUGCACGUCUUGACGGUACCUAAUCAGAAAGCCACGGCUAACUACGUG
This 494-nucleotide ribosomal RNA is filed under the name uncultured bacterium. RNAcentral's name for it is "partial 16S ribosomal RNA". It matches the Rfam family "Bacterial small subunit ribosomal RNA", at positions 31 to 507 of the family's 1533-position model. The record is from RNAcentral.